UGCAUGUUCACCUAAAAGGAGAUCUGUGUC
This 30-nucleotide non-coding RNA is filed under the name Mus musculus (house mouse). Lineage: Eukaryota; Metazoa; Chordata; Mammalia; Rodentia; Muridae. The record is from RNAcentral.